This is a long non-coding RNA of Homarus americanus (American lobster), 1009 nucleotides long. RefSeq lists it as uncharacterized. NCBI's taxonomy places the organism in Eukaryota, Metazoa, Arthropoda, Malacostraca, Decapoda, Nephropidae. The record is from RefSeq and is a predicted model, not a curated record. The transcript has 4 exons.
GGAAGCUGAAAUUCCGGACUUUUGAAAAAUUUUAAAAAUUACUUCCGGAUGAAGAUUUCGAGACCUAACUGGAGGACGUGUCCGGGAAAAUACGGACGUAUGGCUACCCUAAAUUCCUAGACGGUCCGACCAUCCGUCCUUCACAACGCUCUUCAAAGGAUCACAGAAGGGAACUGCUCAACCCACCUGGCUGCUCUAGGGAAGACACCUCUUCUCCCAAAGGUACCCCAGAAGCCCUUAUCUCAAGAUGUGAGAAGCACCCCAUCACCUGAGCGUCUCAUUAUCACCAUGACCCGUAACAAAACAGGAUGAUGAAUGGUUAGAGGCAACAUAUGUAAGGCCCAAGAAGCAAGACUCCAAGCUCAUAAAGUUUAACCUAGUGCCCAAAAGAAAUUGUUUGACUCAUGAAAGGAAUGAGGCAGAAAGGUCAUAUGAAAUGGAUUUGAGUGACAAUGUAAUCUAAAGUCUGAGAUGAGACAAGCCAACACUGCUGCCAGUUUUAUAAAUCUUGGCAACACAACAUAACUAUACUUUGCUGUGGUGUGUUAGACCAGGUCUAUCAAACUUUUGCAGCUGUAUUCAAGAGUACUACAGGCUGUGAGGGCCAUUAUUCUGUGUGAUCCAAAUGAAAGCUAAGACUUGAUCAUCAUUAUACAGUACUGUAUAUAUUGCAUCCAGCUCUAAGAGUUAAACCACAGCUGUUUCACCAAGUGGAUGUUAGUGCAGACUUCUGCCAGGUUAAUUGAUGAGAAGCAUCUUCAUAUUUGCUGGUGCUGACUUCAUCCAGGAGGAUUUCCAUACAAGUUUUUAACUCGUCAGUGAGAGGGAGGACCAAUCUAACUCAUCUAAGAAGAUGCCUUGUUUGAGAGCAGCAACAGCCUCCAACUCGUCUCCAAAGACAUCUCAAUUGUUCAACAGAGUUUAUUACAGCCGAAUCUUUUAUAUAUAUGUACAUAUAAAUACAUGUAAAUAUUAGUUCUCUGAUUUGUUAAUAAAGGAAUCAAAUUAU